RNAcentral lists this long non-coding RNA (1360 nucleotides) under Homo sapiens (human). Its description in RNAcentral is "HSALNT0120246". The record is from RNAcentral. Lineage: Eukaryota; Metazoa; Chordata; Mammalia; Primates; Hominidae.
AGAUCAUUUUUGAAAUUAUGGCAAAGUCAAGGGCACCCGCUGGUACCCUCCAUGACCAGUUGUGUUUCAGAGAAGGCAGAUCUAGUCCAUUCAAGGCCAGGAUCCCCCGGAGGUCAGUACAUUAUUUGCCCAGUGAACUGUGGGCAUAUCUAUACUUUUUGCACUUUUCCAGGCAGGAAGGAGGAAGUAGUACUGAGAACCCACUGUCUUGGGUUAAGGAGCAUUCUCUGGGCUGCUUAGGGGAGAAGAUUUCUAUCCCAAGGUCCUGCAGCCUUGGGGUAAGAUGGGAGCAGAGAAGACAGAGUGUGGGGCCACUGUGGAGGCAGCAGGGAGGGGUUCCUUGUGGCCACUGAUCGGAGCCCUCAUAUUCCUUGUGGGGAGGCUCUAAUUUCUCCAGAGAUGCUUCUCUACUUGGAGGUCUGCCCUGUGUCGGGAGCAUUAGUGGCCCUGCAGAGAGGUGGGACGUUAUUUGGAUACUCUUGCUCGUAGGGAGUUUGUUGCCUCCCAAAAGGUGUGUGGCAUUUGUAAGUUGUUCUCCUUUUCCAUGGUUCUUCAGAAGACUUGAAUAUGGUUUGUAAUCUAGGCACCAAAAUUGAAAUUCCCUCCAAAGAGCCACACAAAUAAAUGACCUCCCAUACCAUUAAGUUCUCUCUAUGCAUGGCAAUCCCUAGUUAACCUCAGACAGGUAAGAAGAGAGAGUGUUUUUCAUCAAUGACAAGGAAAGUUUUUUCUGGCUAAUGUGGUAUAGUAGCAAAUGCAACUAAAAAGGACACCCCCAAGCAUGUCUUUAAUUCAUUUGUACACAUCCAACAACAUCACUUUUAAGUACACAUAGGUAGGAUAAAUAUUUAGUCAUUAAGUAUCUGAAGUUAUUGUAAUUCUAUUUCAGCACUAUUCUUUUCCCUACAUUAAAAAAAAAUUUCUAGACUGUGCUUCAACCUCAAAGGACAUACCUUGGACAGAAUAUUCCAUUAAAGACAUUGUUGGAGCAACUUUUAUUAUUCAUUAGUGUGUUUUAAAGUGGACCUGAACAGAAAUGCUUUUUGCUAAAGUAAAAAUACAUCCGUUUCUAUGAUCUAAUUGUGCAAUUGGUUAGAAUUUCUAUCUAUCAGUUCAAAGGGAAACUUGGUUUCAGUGAAUUUGUUUUUAAUAAAAAUGUGCUAUCUAUGAUAAAUAUAUUUCACUUUGUUCAAAUGGAUUUGAUUGGGAAAACAUAUUGAGCAGAAGUACUGGUACAGCUUAAUUUCAUUGCUUUGAGAAAACGUAUUGAAUGCUGGUUUGAAUUAAAUUCUAUUUGUUUUAAUAAAAGUGUAUUGGCCUGAGUGUACAUAUAUUUGUUUUAGUGGUAGUGCAUUGGAUC